UAAAUAUAAUUUAUUAAAAAUAUUAGUCUG
Molecule: transfer RNA, 30 nt
Filed under: Litoria sp. a SD-2021
Lineage: Eukaryota; Metazoa; Chordata; Amphibia; Anura; Pelodryadidae
Description: partial tRNA-His
Source: RNAcentral